GGUGGUGGUGGUGGCCGCGGCGGUAACAGUGGUGGUAUUGUUAUCGUUCGUGAUGAGGCUCAUGGUUGCUGCCAUGCCAUAAACUAAGUAAUCAAGGCCAUAAUCUCCAUCUUGGCUUUGGUCUUCCCACUUUAUAGUUGGGGGCAGAGACUUAAUUUCUCAUAGAAUUGUACGAAUUGAGUGGUGAAAGUGGCACCCAACUUAAUAUAUGGUUUAGAACAAAA
RNAcentral lists this unclassified non-coding RNA (224 nucleotides) under Hevea brasiliensis (rubber tree). Lineage: Eukaryota; Viridiplantae; Streptophyta; Magnoliopsida; Malpighiales; Euphorbiaceae. The record is from RNAcentral.